GGGUUGUGAGGUUAAGCGACUAAGCGUACACGGUGGAUGCCCUGGCAGUCAGAGGCGAUGAAGGGCGUGCUAAUCUGCGAUAAGCGCCGGUAAGGUGAUAUGAACCGUUAUAACCGGCGAUACCCGAAUGGGGAAACCCAGUGUGAUUCGUCACACUAUCAUUAACUGAAUCCAUAGGUUAAUGAGGCGAACCGGGGGAACUGAAACAUCUAAGUACCCCGAGGAAAAGAAAUCAACCGAGAUUCCCCCAGUAGCGGCGAGCGAACGGGGAGGAGCCCAGAGCCUGAAUCAGCAUGUGUGUUAGUGGAAGCGUCUGGAAAGGCGCGCGAUACAGGGUGACAGCCCCGUACACAAAAGCGCAUAUGCUGUGAGCUCGAUGAGUAGGGCGGGACACGUGGUAUCCUGUCUGAAUAUGGGGGGACCAUCCUCCAAGGCUAAAUACUCCUGACUGACCGAUAGUGAACCAGUACCGUGAGGGAAAGGCGAAAAGAACCCCGGCGAGGGGAGUGAAAAAGAACCUGAAACCGUGUACGUACAAGCAGUGGGAGCCCCACCACUAAGCCAGUGGUGAACUCCACAUACGCAUCCUUUGCUGAGGAUACGGUUAACGGAGCGAAAGCGACGUUCAACCUCAAAAGAAGCAGAGGGGGCUUAGUGGUGGGGUGACUGCGUACCUUUUGUAUAAUGGGUCAGCGACUUAUAUUCUGUAGCAAGGUUAACCGAAUAGGGGAGCCGGAGGGAAACCGAGUCUUAACCGGGCGUUAAGUUGCAGGGUAUAGACCCGA
RNAcentral lists this ribosomal RNA (785 nucleotides) under Salmonella enterica. RNAcentral's name for it is "bacterial LSU rRNA". It matches the Rfam family "Bacterial large subunit ribosomal RNA", at positions 1 to 718 of the family's 2925-position model. Lineage: Bacteria; Pseudomonadati; Pseudomonadota; Gammaproteobacteria; Enterobacterales; Enterobacteriaceae. The record is from RNAcentral.